This 1272-nucleotide long non-coding RNA is filed under the name Actinidia chinensis (golden kiwifruit). RNAcentral's name for it is "long non-coding RNA (ACHI_LNC001007)". Lineage: Eukaryota; Viridiplantae; Streptophyta; Magnoliopsida; Ericales; Actinidiaceae. The record is from RNAcentral.
AGAAGAAGCCUGUGGUCGUGGCCUGGCGGGUUUGGUGCUACCGGCGGAGGCGACUCCGACGACGGCGAAAGUCGGUGGCGCUAUUACCACCGGAAUAAACAAAGAGGAGAGGGGAGAGGUCCGAGAGGAAGGUUACCAGCAUUUCUCUAGUUUUUGCCCCUGUUUAUCUGGUCUAAGAGCCUUUUGUUUUCUCCGAGACAUUGGAAAGAUUGAAUAAGAAAAUCAAUUAAAAAAGAGUUUUUUAUUCGUUCAUUGGCAUUGUGAUUUGGAUUAUUCGGAGUUUCUUCGGACAGUUCUCCCGGUGGUUGAAUCUUCCCGUAAUUCGAUCUGAGAUUGAUUUGUUUUGUUGCGUUCUUCGGCGACAUUGCAACGUGCGAGUUUUUGUUUUCACUUUCGCGCAUUGGAUCUGAAAAUCCUUCAAGAUCUCGGGAAAAAAUUUGACUAAUCGUCUCACAUCCGGUACGUGAAUCUCUCUGUGUUUUGAUCAUUCUUCGCGUUUUGCUUCUGUUCUUUUCGUUUGAAUUGCGUUUGGUUCUAGAGAAAAAUGAGGUAAAGACGAAGAAAAGAAAGAAGUUUUUGAAGGUUUCUUUGUGUUCUGUGGUUAUAGUUUGCGAGAAUGGAAACUACUAGUGCCUCAAUUAAAAUUCGAAGUCUUAUAGGCUUAAGAGAAUGUGGAUUGUUGAAGUUUCUCUCUGAUAUAAGUUAUAACAUCUUCACAGAUAUUCGCAUUAUGUGCAUUUUAUCACUGUUUCUGUUCUUUUCCCCUACAUAAUCAUAAAUUAUAAAUCAAAAAGUUCGGAAUUUGACAGAAAUGCUCAGUUUUUCAUCAUCAUUGGCAGACAAAAACAGAGAAGGACCUUUUUGUUUUUUUCGUUUUCAAUUCUCACAAGAGCAUCGCCGAAAUUCUUAGAGAUGAAGCCUUGAUAUGUCGGUAAGGGAAGAUGAGAACUGGCUAGUAUCAUUACUUUGUAAACUAAAUAAAUGGAAUAUGAAUUCAGAUUUCUCUAAAUUAGAUCUCAAACCUAUGGUGGUUAUAUGAAUUCAGAUUUCUCUACAAUUAGAUCUCAAACCUAUGUGUUUUUUUUAUAGUUUUUAGUUGAAAUAGAUCAAGGGGAAGAACGACUUGUUCGAUGAUAAUGCCGUUUAAGCGCGUAUUCCAGCAGCUUAAAGAAAUGCGAGAUGGUUCUAAAAAUAAUUCACGGAGGCGAGCCAAUAGGAAGUGUGUGAACGGUCUUGGAAGAUCGCAUAUAGCCCCCGAAAGUUCUCCUUCUC